RNAcentral lists this ribosomal RNA (463 nucleotides) under uncultured bacterium. Its description in RNAcentral is "partial 16S ribosomal RNA". It matches the Rfam family "Bacterial small subunit ribosomal RNA", at positions 28 to 507 of the family's 1533-position model. The record is from RNAcentral.
GACGAACGCUGGCGGCGUGCUUAACACAUGCAAGUCGAGCGGAAAGGCCACUUCGGUGGUACUCGAGCGGCGCACGGGUGCGUAACACGUGAGUAAUCUGCCCCUGGCUUUGGGAUAGCCACCGGAAACGGUGAUUAAUACCGGAUAUGACACAUUCUCGCAUGAGUUUGUGUGGAAAGUUUUUCGGCCAGGGAUGUGCUCGCGGCCUAUCAGCUUGAUGGUGAGGUAAUGGCUCACCAUGGCUUCGACGGGUAGCCGGCCUGAGAGGGUGACCGGUCACACUGGGACUGAGACACGGCCCAGACUCCUACGGGAGGCAGCAGUGGGGAAUAUUGGACAAUGGGCGGAAGCCUGAUCCAGCAACGCCGCGUGAGGGAUGACGGCCUUCGGGUUGUAAACCUCUUUCAGUACCGACGAAGCGCAAGUGACGGUAGGUACAGAAGAAGCACCGGCCAACUACGUG